UGACCUAUCAUGGAUGAGCAGGAUAAUGUAGCUGACCUAUCAUGGAGGAGAAGGAUGAUGAUGUAGCUGACCUAUCAUGGAGGAGCAGGAUGAUGAUGUAACUGACCUAUCAUGGAGGAGCAGGGGUGAUGAUGUAGCUGACCUAUCAUGGAGGAGCAGGAUGAUGAUGUAGCUGACCUAUCAUGAAGGAGCAGGAUGUGGAUGUAGCUGACCUAUCAUGGAGGAGCAGGGGUGAUGAUGUAGCUGACCUGUCAUGGAGGAGCAGGCUGAUGUAGCUGACCUAUCAUGGAGUAGCAGGGGUGAUGAUGUAGCUGACCUAUCAUGGAGGAGCAGGGGUGAUGAUGUAACUGACCUAUCAUUGAGGAGCAGGGGUGAUGAUGUAGCUGACCUAUCAUGGAGGAGCAGGCUGUUGAUGUAGCUGACCUAUCAUGGAGGAGCAGGGGUGAUGAUGUAACUGACCUAUCAUGGAGGAGCAGGGUGAUGAUGUAGCUGACCUAUCAUGGAGGAGCAGGAUGGUGAUGUAGCUGACAUAUCAUGGAGGAGCAGGAUGAUGAUGUAGCUGACCUAUCAUGGAGGAGCAGGAUGAUGUAGCUGACCUAUCAUGGAGGAGCAGGAUGAUGAUGUAGCUGACCUAUUAUGGAGGAGCAGGGUGAUGAUGUAGCUGACCUAUCAUGGAGGAGCAGGGUGAUGAUGUAGCUGACCUAUCAUGGAGGAGCAUGAUGGUGAUGUAGCUGACCUAUCAUGGAGGAGCAGGAUUAUGAUGUAGCUGACAUAUCAUGGAGGAGAAGGAUGAUGAUGUAGCUGACCAAUCAUGGAGGAGCAGGCUGAUGAUGUAACUGACCUAUCAUGGAGGAGCAGGAUGAUGAUGUAACUGACCUAUCAUGGAGGAGCAGGGGUGAUGAUGUAGCUGACCUAUCAUGGAG
RNAcentral lists this long non-coding RNA (923 nucleotides) under Salmo salar (Atlantic salmon). RNAcentral describes it as "lncRNA (ENSSSAG00000121178.1)". The record is from RNAcentral. Lineage: Eukaryota; Metazoa; Chordata; Actinopteri; Salmoniformes; Salmonidae.